CAAAAUCCAUAAACCCGAACCCGCCUCCCCCUCCUUGCCCGGACGUUAAACGCCGGCACUUCUGGUGGGGUUUGGUUUCUGCAGCAGCGAUGGGGAAGAACAAGCGAGCCAAAGAUCGAGCUCCCGGCGCUCACUCGCCUUCCACCGUCUUCUUCUCCAACUUGCCUUACUCCUUCACCAAUGCUCAGCUCAAGGAGACGUUCGGCAACGUCGGUCCGAUCGGGCGAUGUUUCAAUGUGACCAAGAAAGGUGAGGGAAUGUGAUGAUAUCUACACCGGGGGGCGCUUGCGUGAGGGUUAUACUUCUUCUAUCAAAUGGCUGGGUCGCAGGGACCGUCAGAGUUGGUGGUCUUGUAAGUGCUAAAAUGGCGGACCAGGUUCAUAGUAAGGCAAAGGAGAUUGGGAGUUUGGGACAGCGUGUUCUCUGUCUCAUCCACUUCCUGAAAAGGAUCUUCGCCAACUAUUAAAAACAUGCCGAAUGGUGAUAUAUUAAAGGGCUUGAUGAGAUCUCAAACCUCAUCUGUACCGGUUGAGUGGAAUGUCAUCAGUCAAUGUGUGAGCAACUAACUUGCAGGUGUGAAUUGACUCGACAACUAAGUGCACAUAAGCAUAUUUGCCUUUUUUUUCCUGGUGGAAGCAACUAUGGUAGCGUCAUUUACAACCAACACGGUGCCGGUACCUACUCUUCUUCUGCCUUCCCUACGCCUAGCGUUGUUUGUGCACGCUAUUCUUUCAUCAUUGCAGUCAUUAUCAGAACCCUCCCUAGGAGCUCUCUGUUGCCAGCACUUCUUGCACCAGCAAGAAUAUCUCCUCCUUCGCCAUAACCUUGUUGGCAGUGCCCCACUAGUAAUGGCUCUGUAACCACAACUUGACGAUGAACUGUGGUGCCCCGGAGACCAGUUGGUACAAUCCUCCUGAUGUGAUGCAAAUAUCUACUAAGUAGAGGACAGAAUAAUGGAUAUGUGCCUUCAAGAAUGAUGAAGCUAAUGAACUUUGUUGGGGAAGAGGGAAGUUGUGAAUAUUUCCUCUGAUCUCUGUUAUUUGCACAUUCGAUAUGAUGCAAAGUGCAUUCAGCAAGGAAAUGCAGGAUUUACAUUAGCUAUUCUAAACGGGAGAUUAGUAAAAAUAAACAUUACAAUUUUUAUGUUUCCUGUUAGAAGAUGUCUCGAAAGGGCAUGCCUCUAAGAAGUGUGGGCUAUGUUGCUGGUGGGAUCGACAAUGUUCCUUGUCAAACAUUGAAGUUGUGUUAUGUUGUAAUUUGGAAAUAUAACUUUCUUGGGUUGGGAUUC
This is a long non-coding RNA of Eucalyptus grandis, 1288 nucleotides long. RefSeq lists it as uncharacterized. The record is from RefSeq and is a predicted model, not a curated record. The transcript has 4 exons. Lineage: Eukaryota; Viridiplantae; Streptophyta; Magnoliopsida; Myrtales; Myrtaceae.